Non-coding RNA from Camelina sativa (false flax), 1065 nucleotides. The record is from RefSeq and is a predicted model, not a curated record. NCBI's taxonomy places the organism in Eukaryota, Viridiplantae, Streptophyta, Magnoliopsida, Brassicales, Brassicaceae.
UGGGUUGAGUGAGAAACUGAAAAGUGAAACGCGAAUGGUCGUGAGAGGUACACGUAUGAUCCUUGAGUCUUAAAGCGACUCUGGAGAGAGGCGAAGCGUAGGAGACGACGCGGGAAGCUAAUUGGAAAAAAUGGAGGUGGAGGAAGCCAAGAUCUUGCUCGGCUUUCCUCCUGGUUCACGUCCCGAUCCUUCUCAGGUAAAAGCUGCUUACAGGAAGAAAGUAUGGGAAUCGCAUCCUGACCUAUUUCCAGAUGACCAGAAGAUCCAUGCUGAGUCUUUGUUUAAAUCGAUAUCUGAAGCUUACUCUUGCCUUGACUCUGGUAUCUCUCUCUCUCUCUCUCUGAUAUGACCUUUCCUCGGUGUUAUAGUUUAGAAUCCACAGGUCUGCAAAUAACCCAAAUGAGAGAGCUGCUAGGUUCCUGUUGUGUGAAAUCAGCUUUCCUCAUGACAAAUGAAUCAAGAUUUUGAGAGUCCUUUGAGCUUCUGUUGUUGGAAGAAUGUGAUAAAGAAGAGACCAUCACAUACGAUACUACUAUAUACACUGUUGUAUUCUAGAUCAUUUGGGUUUACAAGUCCGCAGAUCAGGACAUGCUUACUCUGAAAUGAUAUAAAAUGCUAAAAUCUAUUAUAAAACAUUCUCAACUAUUGUCUCUAUUUGUAAUUAACACAUUUCCUCUCUCUUUUUGCAGGUGGUGUUAGGGAUCAAAGAUAUUAUAGAGCAGGCGCGUAUUCGAGGGUCGUCAGGACUGGAGUUCCACGGGCACAUGCAUCUGCCAAAAGAGGUAACCCUUGGUUGAUCGGCGCACCUUUCCUUCUGAUCGUUUUAGGAACCAUUGGACUUGGUGGAGUCAAAGCUAACAGGGCUUAUAAUCUGCAAAAACAGACGUUCCCGUCUCACAAUCCUUUUCUUCCUUGAUUCGGAGUCUCUUACAACAUCACAUUUUGAAUAAUUGGUUAUGUAUGUAAGCCUUGUAUUAUUGUACUUGAUACUGUAUGUAAAAAUUAUGAUGUUACGAAUUUCUCAAAAGAUUAAAUACACCUAAUAAUUCUUUCUUGCGUUUUGAA